This 252-nucleotide ribosomal RNA is filed under the name Clostridioides difficile. RNAcentral describes it as "partial 23S ribosomal RNA". It matches the Rfam family "Bacterial large subunit ribosomal RNA", at positions 1897 to 2148 of the family's 2925-position model. Lineage: Bacteria; Bacillati; Bacillota; Clostridia; Peptostreptococcales; Peptostreptococcaceae. The record is from RNAcentral.
AAUCGAAGCAGUGAACUUAAGCCCCAGUAAACGGCGGCCGUAACUAUAACGGUCCUAAGGUAGCGAAAUUCCUUGUCGGGUAAGUUCCGACCCGCACGAAAGGCGUAACGAUUUGGGCACUGUCUCAACAACAGACUCGGUGAAAUUGUAAUUCCGGUGAAGAUGCCGGAUACCUGCGACAGGACGGAAAGACCCCAUGGAGCUUUACUGUAGCUUGACAUUGGGUCUUGGUACUACAUGUACAGGAUAGGU